GACGAACGCUGGCGGCGUGCUUAACACAUGCAAGUCGAACGGAAAGGCCCUGCUUUUGUUGGGUGCUCGAGUGGCGAACGGGUGAGUAACACGUGAGUAACCUGCCCUUGACUUUGGGAUAACUUCAGGAAACUGGGGCUAAUACCGGAUAGGAGCUCCUGCUGCAUGGUGGGGGUUGGAAAGUUUCGGCGGUUGGGGAUGGACUCGCGGCUUAUCAGCUUGUUGGUGGGGUAGUGGCUUACCAAGGCUUUGACGGGUAGCCGGCCUGAGGGGGUGACCGGCCAAAUUGGGACUGAGAUACGGCCCAGACUCCUACGGGAGGCAGCAGUGGGGAAUAUUGCACAAUGGGCGGAAGCCUGAUGCAGCAACGCCGCGUGCGGGAUGACGGCCUUCGGGUUGUAAACCGCUUUCGCCUGUGACGAAGCGUGAGUGACGGUAAUGGGUAAAGAAGCACCGGCUAACUACGUG
RNAcentral lists this ribosomal RNA (468 nucleotides) under uncultured bacterium. RNAcentral describes it as "partial 16S ribosomal RNA". It matches the Rfam family "Bacterial small subunit ribosomal RNA", at positions 28 to 507 of the family's 1533-position model. The record is from RNAcentral.